UUAAUUUAACUUUGUUGUAAUCUUGAAGUUGUAUUAAAAAUAGGAAUGAAUUACGGUUUUCAAUGUAUUCAAGAAAUUGGGAUUGGGAUUAAUGAUUAUGGAUUGAUUUGUAUGUUAGAUGAUGAAUUGGAAUAUUAGAAAUGGUUGUCAUUUUGCUGUAGAAAGGAAUUAGUGUAUGUUGGUUUUAGGGAUGGAUGUAUUAAAUUGUAGAAAAAUGUGAACGUAUGUAUGUGGCAAUGUUUGGAAUUUGGUUGUAAAAUUAUGGAUGAAAUGAAUGAUAUGAAUGAAUGCUAUUGGCAAC
This 301-nucleotide long non-coding RNA is filed under the name Lathyrus oleraceus (garden pea). RNAcentral's name for it is "Pisum sativum (pea) long non-coding RNA (PSAT_LNC003066)". Lineage: Eukaryota; Viridiplantae; Streptophyta; Magnoliopsida; Fabales; Fabaceae. The record is from RNAcentral.